Oryzias melastigma (Indian medaka) is the source of this 338-nucleotide long non-coding RNA. RefSeq lists it as uncharacterized. Lineage: Eukaryota; Metazoa; Chordata; Actinopteri; Beloniformes; Adrianichthyidae. The record is from RefSeq and is a predicted model, not a curated record. The transcript has 3 exons.
CACAUUAGUGAUUGGUUUACUACCCGGAAAUGUUGUGAGGAGGGCGUGUUCACGCGCGUGCAGACAAACAAAGUAACAGCGAAGUUUUUUAAUCUCAUUUAGAGUUUUUGUCUAACAUUUUGACAUUAAAAGCAGCAGUCAUGGCUGAGGUGACUGGAGCUGAACUAAUAGCAGAGUCCCUGAAGACUCAGAAAGUGGAGUAUAUGUUCGGGAUAGUCGGGGUUCCUAUCAUUGAAGUGGCCAUGGCCGCUCAGGCUGCAGGCAUCAAAUAUGUAGGAAUGCGCAAUGAGCAGGCGGCCUGCUAUGCUGCAUCUGCCAUUGGGUACAUCACAGGGAGG